CAUCAUAUGGCUCAGUGGCAGACCAUUUGAUUGCAGAUCAAGAGGUUCCCUGGUUCAAAUCUGGGUGUCCCCG
Gymnothorax javanicus (giant moray) is the source of this 73-nucleotide non-coding RNA. The record is from the annotation of a GenBank genome assembly. Lineage: Eukaryota; Metazoa; Chordata; Actinopteri; Anguilliformes; Muraenidae.